This is an RNA transcript of Phycodurus eques (leafy seadragon), 4146 nucleotides long. It is a transcript of the gene named solute carrier family 30 member 9, with no coding region annotated. The transcript is spliced from 18 exons. The record is from RefSeq and is a predicted model, not a curated record. NCBI's taxonomy places the organism in Eukaryota, Metazoa, Chordata, Actinopteri, Syngnathiformes, Syngnathidae.
ACACGCCGUACAUUUACCACAAGGGAACUGGAAGUAACAUUAUUAUUAUUAUUAUUUAUAAACGUUAUGUAUUGAUAUCACACGCUUAGGCAUUGACUAAAAAGUAAACCUCGUUCAAAUCUGUUGAGGAAUGAGCAAGUUACGAUUUAAUUUCAAUGUCCAUGCAUUGCGUUUGACGGGAACGUCGACCUUUUCAACAUGGCCGCCACGUAGGCACGUCAGUUAUCCGAGAUGAUCCAUCGGGCUAGAUUAUCUCGUACUGUAUAUAUGUCGAUAGACUUCCAGUGACGCAAUGUUAGCAAAUAUAAGUGAUGUGACGUACUCGAAUCCAGUACUUGUAUGAAAUACACACCUUAUUGAAUACAACCACAAUAGACAGCAAGAAUAUAGACUAUAUAGGGGCGAACAGUCUACGUAAAUGUAAACAAAAAUAUGGAAACGAAAGGGACUCCAGAAUGUUUCCUGAAUUUAAAUUGCAGUCUUUAGAGGGUCUUCUGGUCCGAAGGGCCUUGGGAUGCAAAUAAGAAUUUAUGUACAGCAGUAAUAUUUUGAACACAAGAUUAGUCCGCUGAUUUGCAAAGCCACGCCCACGGGAGGAUUGGCGUGACGUCCUGGAGUGUCACGGAUCACGUGACCAUUGUGUUUGUAGCACUUGCAGUUUGUCCCAAUGGACACAGACUAUGCCGAACAAACCUCACCGUAGAACGGUACGACUUCUGUCCGAGUCCGAGUGGACUCGCUAGUUUGGCCACGUUGGUGUUUGUGAGUCGAGGAAAGAGCUAAACGUCCUUCGUCUUUCCGCUACUCAAAGGCGCUAGCUUGUGCUUAGCUGACUUUUUAUUACGAGAGGCAUUCGGUACUAUAGCGCUUUAGCAGCGUUAGCCUAACCGGUAAAGGCAUUAGUUAACCUUAUCGUAAACUACAAUGCCCAAGUGAAGUAUCGAUAGAAACGUCGUUCGUGUGUGGUCCGUUUAGCUCCGUUUUUCGAAGGUGUCAUGCCCGGAGUGGCGAGGACUCGGGAGUUAAUCUGUUUGAAUGAGUUUAAAUUGGCAUGCGCAGGCUGCUGCUAGCUAGAGUUCACUGGGGUUGAUUCCGUGUGAUAUUCGCCAGUUGGUCCGCGUCACUAGCCAGGAUGCUCCCCAGCCUGGUCCACAGACCGUGGCAGGUCUUCUUCAGGGUCUCCUGGAGGCACAGAUCGAGGCUCCCACAGCCGUGCCUCGGGUGGAAAACCGGGAGCACAUUUAGCUCGUGCCUCAGACCUCCGGACUGUCGAGUUGCCGCGCCGGGAGCGACCGAGGUCCACUUCUACUCCACCUUUGGAAACGGCAAAGAUGGACCUCCAAGAUCUCCGUCGGAUUCCACUGAAAAAGUGACCGCAAAACCCAACGUAGCAGCAACAGGUUCUGCGCUUAAGGGGCUCACUAAAGCAGAGACCAUUCAAGUGAAAGUCCGGGCCGUCCUGAAGAAGCGUGAAUAUGGCGCCAAGUACACGCAGAAUAACUUCAUCACGGCUGUCCGAGCCAUGAAUGAAUUCUGUCUUAAACCGAGUGACCUGGAGCACCUUCGCAAGAUCCGAAGACGCAGCCCCCACGAUGACACUGAGGCCUUCACUGUGUUCCUGCGCUCGGACGUCGAGGCGAAAGCUCUGGAUGUGUGGGGAAGCCAAGAAGCUCUGGCCAGGGAGAGAAAUCUCCGGAAGGAAGUGGAGAGAGAGUACGAAGAAAAUAUCUUUCGUAGUCAGCAGCUGUUGAAGGAAUACAAAGACUUCUGGGGAAACACAAAGCCUCGAUCAGGCAAAAGGACAACAUUUCUACAAGGCCCAGGCAAAGUGGUUAUGGUCGCCAUUUGCAUAAAUGGGCUGAACUUCUUUUUCAAGCUGCUGGCAUGGGUCUACACUGGUUCAGCAAGCAUGUUCUCAGAGGCCAUCCACUCUUUAGCCGACACCUGCAAUCAAGCCCUGCUGGCUCUGGGCAUCAGCCAGUCUGUACGGAACCCUGAUGCUGGGCACCCGUAUGGCUUCUCCAACAUGCGCUACAUCGCGUCCCUCAUCAGCGGCGUGGGCAUUUUCAUGAUGGGCGCCGGGCUCUCCUGGUACCAUGGUAUUAUGGGACUGCUGCACCCGGAGCCUAUUGAGUCUUUAUUAUGGGCAUACUGCAUUUUGGCGGGUUCUCUGGUGUCUGAAGGAGCCACACUACUGGUAGCGAUCAAUGAGAUAAAGAGAAGUGCCCAAAACCACAGACUUUCCUUUUAUGAAUAUGUAAUGCAGAGUCGAGACCCAAGCACCAACGUGGUGCUACUUGAGGACACCGCCGCUGUGCUCGGGGUCAUUAUGGCUGCAAGCUGCAUGGGACUCACCUCGUUGACAGGUAAUCCGUACUAUGACAGCCUGGGCUCGCUGGGAGUGGGAACGCUACUCGGCACCGUCUCGGCCUUCCUCAUCUACACCAACACGGAGGCGCUGCUGGGACGCUCCAUACAGGCCGAGCGCGUCCAGAAACUCACAGAGAUCUUAGAGAACGACCCCGCUGUGAGAGCCAUCCAUGACGUGAAGGCCACCGAUUUGGGAUUGAGCAAAGUGCGCUUUAAGGCGGAAGUCGACUUCGAUGGCCGAGUGGUGACACGCUCUUAUCUGGAAAAGCAAGACAUCGACCAAAUCCUCAAUGACAUUCAGCAGGUGAAGACGCCGGAAGAGCUGGAGAACUUCAUGCUGAAACAUGGUGAGAACAUCAUCGACACCCUGGGUGCUGAGGUGGACCGCCUGGAGAAAGAACUCAAGCAACGUAACCCAGAGGUCCGCCAUGUAGACCUGGAGAUCUUAUAAUAACACUGACGUGACGUGGAAGAACCUGCAAGAUGAAGAAGAGCCAAAAGGACACGCAGGCUUGCAUCUGCUGUCCACUUUGCAUUCCUAACUAAAAGCUCCACCCCCUCACAGGCCUCCGUGCAACAACACUUGAACAUUAUUGUGACAAGUUAACGCUCCCGCAAGGCCGCAGUCCAUUCUCGUUACAGGAAGUGCACUUGAGGGCUUUGAAGGAGUCCGUGAAGCAGUUGCGGAACACAGACAUCUUGCUGCCAUGGCACGUUGGGCAAGGGACGAAGGCGAAGCCCCCGCAGCUCUGGCACGUCUCAGGGUGCUGCACCCGCUGGAGGCAAGAACCAUAACAUGGGAGUAGGCGUCCAAUUUAGUUAAGUAUCCAGCACGCUCCACAAACCAUGUCGUAUCCAUCGAUUCGCAAUUUACCGUUGCGAUACUCAAAAUACUCAUGAAAGCAGAAGCCCUGAUACAACUCUACCUAAAGUCUCUGUAAAGUAAAAAUAAUUAUCCUAUCUCUAAAUUUGCUCGUUCAACGAACUUUUUCCCGAUCGAAAUCCAUUCGUCAGCGGGACUUUGCUUCCUGAUCAAAACAACUGAUCAAAACAAAAUCUGCCAAAGUUGCUAGUGGGAAUGCUGAAAUUCACCCACAUUUGGGUGUUGUUAAGCCUUGAACAUUAGGCAGAAAUAAAGUUAAAGAGUCGUUUGCAAUGUAUUUAUUUUAAAAUGAGAGUAUCUACAGUAUGUAUCACUGAGAUAUAAAAAGAACAACAGUAUAAAAUGGCUCAUAAGAAAGUAGUAAUGGGCCAUUUUUGCAGUCGGCUCACAGUGUUGUCACCUGAACCCCCCAUGGUGGACGUGACUCGCACUUCACAAGUUAUAUGUCAGUGGUAUCGGUGUCGUAGUACUUGACCAUUUUCUCGAUUACGUGUACGUAAAGUAUCGGCACCACUAUCGGUAUCGCUCCAUCCAUAUUUUAAGAUGCUUACGUGGGCACUUCAAAAUAUUUUUAAGGGGAAUUUUCGCUAUUCCCGUCAGGGCUUGGUCCCUAACCUCCACGAAUAGCAACAGUUCUUUACCAAUAUAAUCGUCUCAAUUUAUUUAUCAUUAGGUUUAUUAUUUUAGUUGUAUUUUCGAUUUGCCUGGUGGUAUAUGUAUAUUGUGGUCGUCUAGCUUGUAUUUUACUGUGGUGUACUUUUGCACUGUAUCAGAAUGGGGGGAGUUGUUUUUAUAUUUUUGCCCCCCUUAUUCAGUUACAUAAAAGGGUUAAAAUAUUAUUUUGACAAAAUUAUGAGUUUCCAAUCACACACUCCGCUCAAAUGAAACUGUUA